Molecule: long non-coding RNA, 704 nt
Organism: Nerophis ophidion (straightnose pipefish)
Lineage: Eukaryota; Metazoa; Chordata; Actinopteri; Syngnathiformes; Syngnathidae
Exons: 2
Source: RefSeq, a predicted model, not a curated record
CUCAUGUCACGGGAUCUCGUCACAUCCCAAAUAAGUAAUUCCUAGUAUAUUUCAAGUGUGCUUCAAAAAGUAAGUCUGUUCCCAGUGUGUUACCAACCUUAGGCUAACUCCAGAUACCUUCAAUGUGAUUUAUUUUCAAUGGCAAAAGUAAUGUGUAAACCGAAGCUCUUCAAAAGAAAGUAAUUUGCUUCCUGUGUGAGAGAAGUGCCAUAACUGUGUGAGUGUGACAUGUUUGAAGUGUGGAUAUGGGUGGGUGUGCACCCAGCAGGUGGGCAGAAAAGGAAGAAUGCUGAGAAAGGCAGGACAGUAGAGGGAGGGAGACGCCAUCCACAGGGCACACAAACCACAGGUCUGAGCUGCUAAUGGACAGCGAGCAGCCCUGCACUGGUCCACAACUACAAAAGUAAACACUUCUUCCACAUUGAGAAGGUUCUCGGGGGGUGCUGGAGCCUAUCUCAACUGCAUUCGGGCGAAAGGCGGGUACACCCUGGUCAAGUCGCCACCUCAUCACAGGGCCAACACAGAUAGACAACAUUCACACAAUGGCCAAUUUAGUGUUGCCAAGAGAAGUAAUGGAUUAUUGAUUCUUUGUUUUCCAAAGAAGAGUAUACAAAAAUCACAAUGCCCUAAUAUGAAUGCCAAGAUCAUGUAAAGCUGGAAAAUGUAACAUGACAAAGUUACAAAAAUGUGGCCGCCAUAAUCAA